AGCGUUAAUCGGAAUUACUGGGCGUAAAGCGUGCGCAGGCGGUUUCGUAAGACAGACGUGAAAUCCCCGGGCUCAACCUGGGAACUGCGUUUGUGACUGCGAGGCUAGAGUACGGCAGAGGGGGGUAGAAUUCCACGUGUAGCAGUGAAAUGCGUAGAGAUGUGGAGGAAUACCGAUGGCGAAGGCAGCCCCCUGGGUUAGUACUGACGCUCAUGCACGAAAGCGUGGGGAGCAAACAGGAUUAGAUACCCUGGUAGUCCACGCCCUAAACGAUGUCAACUAGGUGUUGGAAGGGUUAAACCUUUUAGUACCGCAGCUAACGCGUGAAGUUGACCGCCUGGGGAGUACGGCCGCAAGGUUAAAACUCAAAGGAAUUGACGGGGACCCGCACAAGCGGUGGAUGAUGUGGAUUAAUUCGAUGCAACGCGAAAAACCUUACCUACCCUUGACAUGCCAGGAACUUUCCAGAGAUGGAUUGGUGCCCGAAAGGGAGCCUGGACACAGGUGCUGCAUGGCUGUCGUCAGCUCGUGUCGUGAGAUGUUGGGUUAAGUCCCGCAACGAGCGCAACCCUUGUCAUUAAUUGCCAUCAUUCAGUUGGGCACUUUAAUGAGACUGCCGGUGACAAACCGGAGGAAGGUGGGGAUGACGUCAAGUCCUCAUGGCCCUUAUGGGUAGGGCUUCACACGUCAUACAAUGGUCGGUACAGAGGGUUGCCAAGCCGCGAGGUGGAGCCAAUCCCAGAAAGCCGAUCGUAGUCCGGAUCGCAGUCUGCAACUCGACUGCGUGAAGUCGGAAUCGCUAGUAAUCGCGGAUCAGCAUGUCGCGGUGAAUACGUUCCCGGGUCUUGUACACACCGCCCGUCACACCAUGGGAGUGGGUUCUACCAGAAGUAGUUAGCCUAACCGUAAGGAGGGCGAUUACCACGGUAGGAUUCAUGACUGGGGUGAAGUCGUAACAAGGUAGCCG
Molecule: ribosomal RNA, 967 nt
Filed under: uncultured Azospira sp.
Lineage: Bacteria; Pseudomonadati; Pseudomonadota; Betaproteobacteria; Rhodocyclales; Rhodocyclaceae
Description: bacterial SSU rRNA
Rfam family: Bacterial small subunit ribosomal RNA
Source: RNAcentral